AACAAGAACUCAUCAAGUCAAUCAGAGUGAAACUAAAUAUUCCCUCAUAAUUACAACUCACCCAACCAUUCAGCUAUUUGAAUAAAAUACUAAUUAGAUCAAUAAAUUAAUAACAUAUAUGAGAUCAAGUAACGAAGGUCAACCAGUGGUUUAAUUUUUUUUUGUAAACAAGAAUUCUAAAAACAAAUACGUUAGAUAAACAACAACAGGUAAUAUUUAUUUUAAACUGCGCACAAAAUGUUUAAGAAAAUCUUGAGAAAUAUAAGUCAGCAAUCAAAGUCAGAGCGAACAACAAAAGUUGGCGAACGAAAAAGAGAUGAACAAACGAUAAAAAAACAACCCAUCUCAAAGUGCAAAUGUAUUCCUAAGCUAUGCAAAUGUAAAAAACAUCGAAUGAUUGUUCAACGUCUCAGAGAGCGGCUAAAUCUAGUUCCUGAUAUCAUUUAUUAAACUUAAGUUUUAACUUUGUUGUAAAUUUAAUAGAAAAAAAAACAUAAAAUACAUAUUUACAGUU
Molecule: long non-coding RNA, 514 nt
Organism: Eupeodes corollae
Lineage: Eukaryota; Metazoa; Arthropoda; Insecta; Diptera; Syrphidae
Exons: 2
Source: RefSeq, a predicted model, not a curated record